This 692-nucleotide ribosomal RNA is filed under the name uncultured bacterium. Its description in RNAcentral is "bacterial SSU rRNA". It matches the Rfam family "Bacterial small subunit ribosomal RNA", at positions 237 to 943 of the family's 1533-position model. The record is from RNAcentral.
CUGAUUAGCUAGUUGGUGAGGUAAUGGCUCACCAAGGCUACGAUCGGUAGCUGGUCUAAGAGGAUGAUCAGCCACACUGGUACUGGAACACGGACCAGACUCCUACGGGAGGCAGCAGUUAGGAAUUUUGCGCAAUGGGGGAAACCCUGACGCAGCAACGCCGCGUGAAGGAUGAAGGCCUUCGGGUUGUAAACUUCUUUCGACAGGGAAAAAACAAAUGAUGGUACCUGGAGAAGAAGCACCGGCUAACUACGUGCCAGCAGCCGCGGUAAUACGUAGGGUGCAAGCGUUACUCGGAUUUAUUGGGCGUAAAGCGCAUGUAGGUGGUUUUAUAAGUCUGAUGUGAAAGCCCUGGACUCAAUUCAGGAACUGCAUUGGAUACUGUAAGACUAGAGUAUGGGAGAGGUAGGCGGAAUUCUUGGUGUAGAGGUGAAAUUCGUAGAUAUCAAGAGGAACAACAGAAGCGAAGGCGGCUUACUGGACCAUAACUGACACUGAGAUGCGACAGUGUGGGGAGCAAACAGGAUUAGAUACCCUGGUAGUCCACACCGUAAACGAUGGAUACUAGAUGUCGGGAGUUCUUACCCUCUCGGUGUCGUAGCUAACGCGUUAAGUAUCCCGCCUGGGGAGUACGGUCGCAAGAUUAAAACUCAAGAAAUUGACGGGGGCCCGCACAAGCGGUGGAUUAUGUG